Molecule: ribosomal RNA, 497 nt
Filed under: uncultured bacterium
Lineage: Bacteria
Description: partial 16S ribosomal RNA
Rfam family: Bacterial small subunit ribosomal RNA
Source: RNAcentral
GAUGAACGCUGGCGGCGUGCCUAAUACAUGCAAGUCGAGCGAACAGACGAGGAGCUUGCUCCUCUGACGUUAGCGGCGGACGGGUGAGUAACACGUGGAUAACCUACCUAUAAGACUGGGAUAACUUCGGGAAACCGGAGCUAAUACCGGAUAAUAUAUUGAACCGCAUGGUUCAAUAGUGAAUGACGGUUUUGCUGUCACUUUUAGAUGGAUCCGCGCCGCAUUAGCUAGUUGGUAAGGUAACGGCUUACCAAGGCAACGAUGCGUAGCCGACCUGAGAGGGUGAUCGGCCACACUGGAACUGAGACACGGUCCAGACUCCUACGGGAGGCAGCAGUAGGGAAUCUUCGGCAAUGGGCGAAAGCCUGACGGAGCAACGCCGCGUGAGUGAUGAAGGUCUUCGGAUCGUAAAACUCUGUUAUUAGGGAAGAACAAAUGUGUAAGUAACUAUGCACGUCUUGACGGUACCUAAUCAGAAAGCCACGGCUAACUACGUG